This 2407-nucleotide long non-coding RNA is filed under the name Gallus gallus (chicken). Lineage: Eukaryota; Metazoa; Chordata; Aves; Galliformes; Phasianidae. The record is from RNAcentral.
GUAAAUGGCUGACAGGGAGGACUCAUCAAAAUCAUAUCAAAAGACAAUCUGUCAAAUUCUUUCAGUGUAAUGCCCUCAAUUGUCUUCGCCCAUAAUGGUGUGCUGGGAAAGUUGUGCUUAUAAACUUCAUUGGCAAGAGUGUUCACAUCCACAGCAGCAACAACUUCUGCACAUAUGCAGCUUUCUUUCAGAGCCUGGUGCAUCCCCCCGAUGCCGCUGUACAGCUCCAGCACCCUCAGCGCCGCCAUGGCUCGGCGUACGGAACGGCCCUCCCGACCGCCUCCCCGAGCUCCGCCCGUCCGUUCCGCCGCUCUUUCGUUCCCCCCUGCCCGCCCUCUUCCUUCCCGCUCGCCCGGCGGCUCCGUGCCAGUCCCCGCCCGCCGCGCAGCCACUGAUGGAGCACUGAGGAGCGCUGAGGAGAGCUUCACUGUGGCACUGCUACUUGCUCAUUAACCCCGUACAGGGGUUAGGCCCUGCGGACGAAGCCACCCCUUGGAACAGCCUGUCCCCUCACCUGUGAGGGGCUUCAGUGCCAUUCAGUGGGGGCUUUAUCAGCGCUUCCCAAACCACACAGGGUGGGCACGGGAAGAGAAGGGAUAAGGGGACCGUGAAAGGGCCGUGCCCACCGUCCGGGGACGGUGCCAGCCUGCCGUCUGGCUGGGCAGCUGAUGCUGAUGGCGUGUGGCAGUUCUGCGGGCCUCAGCAAUUCUCCUUUUUAUUUGCAGGAGUGAUGUUAGCUUGUGGGGAUGGUUUGAAAAGCUGUUUCAAAGCCUGCACUGCUGGUGGAAUAGGAAGGAAGGAAAUAACUGGUGAAACUGUUCUAAUUUGUCUUAACGUUGUGAAAUUGCUUUCCCUAGAUUAAAGAAAUGACUCAGAAACAUUGUUGCCCCUGAAAAGCAGCCAGUUUGUAACAGUAGGUGCCAGACAGAUGCAUUUGCACCUAUACAUAAAACCCAAAGGGUAAAUAUCCUGCAGAGUAAAACGUGGACUACUCUCCUCCCACAAGCAAAGACACUUGCCUAUGCCCCAGUUCACAGAUGGAGAGUCUAAAGUGAGGAUGAAACCUGAAGCAAAUAAAUUAAAAAUCUGGACACGUUUCUUGAGUUAUUUCUUAAGUUGAUCGCAUUUUUCUGGCACCUCCUGGAAACCUGUGAAAAAUAAGGUGUAUUUCUGGACUACUAAUCAGAAACACGAUUCAAAGAAUAUUAGCUCUUGCCGGCUUCUUUUGAAAAAGUUCUGUCAUUCCCUGUGGAUGUUCACCACCAGAGUCAGGGGCUGUUGCUUUACCUGUCAGCCAUGGAAGUAAGCGCAUGACUGAGAAAAGAAACCCAAGGCCUACUUUGACUAUGUCUGAAAGGAAGUGCAGCAGUUUGAGAUACCAAGGAGGAGAGCAGGAAGUGGUGAGACAGUUUGCACAAACAGCAAUGGAGAACUGAGAAAGGUGGCUGAAUCACACAGCAUAACAAAGCGGGGAAUACGCUGGCCGGAGAAAGCAGGCAUUGGACAAAGAUGGUGCGGAAAGCUCUGAAGGUGAGGAUUCAGGGUGAAGGCGGCUGGGAUGAACAAGGUUGGUGUCUGCUAAGAUGGCAAACUUCAGUAGGAGCCCUUUAAAAUAUAGAUAGGAGGUGAAGGUAAAGAAAAACACAGCUUUUAGACUACUGAAAUUAGUGAAGCUGAUGAGUGAUUUUUAUCUCCUUGUAUCACUAGUGCAACGAUUUAUAUACAAUCUAUAUACAUCAUAGCAAAGCUAAUGAGCUGUAGGCAGUCAGGAGCAGUUCAUCUAUUUGGAGCUGCCCAAUUCCCAUAGCAAUUAAAGCUACAGAGGAGCAGCAUUUCCUUAUAUCAGAAGGAGAGAGAGAGUUGAGCCCUGUUUUUUGCUUUCCUUUCCCCAACCCCACAAUAUUCUUGCCAUUUACAUACAGUAAAGAUGGAGACCGGUGAAGAAAGUGGAUAUCUGCCGUAUUCAUGUCAGUGGAAAAUUCUUUACUCAGGGGAAUUUCCCUGCCUACCUCCUCUGUGUGUAGCAAACCAGAGAGACUGCUCAGCACACCUCCACUCUGGCAACAAAGAAAUUCAUAGACUAGGCUGAGAUUUUAUUGGCUUAAUCUUGUAAGGAGUGGAAAACACCAACAUUUCCCUUGUGCUCAUUUUUAAACAACUUCCAGUAACCAGUUUUAGAAAUCUCUGCCCUGGCUUGGUUCUCCUUAUUAAUUGAUAGCUACGAAAAAGACAACAAUCAAAGCAAUCUGGAAACGAUUACUUUUAGUGUUCUUCACUUUAUAAAUAUAAAGCCAGCAUAACAAUAAUAAUCUUUUGACCAGACAUUUUGUAAUAGAUUUUAAGGUAGGCUGUCUAUUCCAGAGAUGGGAGCAAUGGCUGAGAAGUACCAAGAUCAGCAGCCACUCAC